Non-coding RNA from Cricetulus griseus (Chinese hamster), 2345 nucleotides. Lineage: Eukaryota; Metazoa; Chordata; Mammalia; Rodentia; Cricetidae. The record is from RefSeq and is a predicted model, not a curated record.
UGCCUCUGCCUCCCAAAUUCUGGGAUUACAGGCAUGUGCCACCACUACCCAGCAUCACAAUUUAAUUCUUUAUAGCCGAAUCAAAGACUCUUAUGUAUGUGAUUUCCUUUUUCUGCUGAUUUGUUGAUGGGUAUCUAAGGCAUUUCUGUUUGACUAUUAUGAAUAGGGUGGCAGCAGACAUGUAUGUCCACAUGUAUACUCUGUGGUAGUAUUUGCAUAACUUCUUUGGGGGAGAAUAUUAUCACAUACUUAUCAAGUAUCUCAGUCCAUUUGUGAUAGGAUGGAAACUUUCCUAUUACCUAAGAAUUGGACCCAAGAUUCCUUAGAGGCCACAGAAGUGUCUUUGAAUUGGUACCAUCAUCUUUCCAUUUACACUAGAAGUCUGGGGUCAAGAGAACACAAGACAAUCAGAAGUUGUCAGCCUGUUGGAGAAGGAAAAUAAAGAGGAUUAGCCAGUUUCUUCUAAAAAUUACCAAUAACUGACUAGAAGAAAAGGCUACCAUUCUGUUUUCUGGGAGACAUCUAUAACAGGAGAAAAAUUCUUUCUACUUUCUGUCACACACCCAUGUGUCUUUCAAGUGAUGUGCAAAACACCUUUUUUUUGCUAUAUAGCUUUCCCACCCUUGAAAGUUGGUGUAUCUGUCUUCCUAUGGUUUGGGUAUGGUUUGUACUCCUAUGUUAGAAGCUUGAUCCCAGUGUAGUGAUGUUGAGAGGUUGUAGGCUCCUUAAGAAGUAAACACAGUUGGUUGUAUUGGGGAUACUGACCUUGGAAAGAACCACGUAAUUCUGGGACCUCAGUUAGUUUUUAUUGGAAGGUUGUUAGAAACAAGAAAUCCUGGCUACUUCUUGUUAUCUGAUCUCAAUGGUGAUGACAUCUGUCCACCAUGGUAUUUCAGGCAGUUGAGAAAAGCCAUUGCCAGAACUGACAUCUGACUGUUGUUUGCACUGACAUGCUGCUUGGACUUUCAGCCUUCAAAACUGCAGACAUGGCGGAUCUAUAUCUGGAGCUGAAGGCAGUAAGAAGAGAGAGAGACACUGGACCUGGCUUUAGCUUCGGAAACCUCAAAGCCCAUGCCCUGCGACACACUUCCUCCUACAAGGCCACUCCCUAUGACCUAUGGGGGCUGUUUUCAUUCAAACCAUCACACUGGGUAUGGUGUUAUUCAUUGAAACAUGGGUUUCUUACGAAAGCUCACACCACUGAAGAAAAGUGAUCCCUUCUCUCAUAGCAGCCCUUACCAGCUGCUAAUGGUUUCUCAACGAAGGGUAGAGCCUUAUGAGCCCUUCCCCCAUCUUUGCUGAAACGUCCGUGGGCUCCAUCUUGUACAGGUCUUGUGCAGUCACAUAAGCAUCGAAUUUUCUCCUACCAAUAUUCCAUUCUGAACAAGAAGACUUACCACAUAUCAGAGACACAGAUGUGUCUGGCAACUUGAAUAUGAUUCCAUGGAAAGCAAAGGAAUACAUUACCAUGUUAUAUUUGGAAUGAAAGGUAUACCCUGCUGAAUAAUUGCGACAACACUGAGAGAGUAAAACCAAGUGUGCUGGCAACUACCUCCAAGCAAGAACUUCUACAUUAUUCCAUGCGGGAAGCACUCUAUGCAGGGCGUGUCACAGGCCAGGGCAGAAACCAAAAGCUAUUCCUCUGUGGCUUCAAGAUAAAAUCCCACUGAGAGUCAGCAUUGAACAUGCAGAUAGAAGCUGAAUGUGAGAGACGUUAUCCAGUUUUCCUCAUAUGAAGCAGGGCAAGACUGUGAAAAGGUCUGUGUAUUACUGAACAAAACCACGGUUCACCUCCGAGGAGUACUCAGUAAGAGGAAAUCCAGUCUCAAAUGAAAACCCGACUGCCUGGGAGUCAUCCUAGAAGAAUUCGAUGUUUUGAACAAGAGAUGGAUGAUAGAUUUUAAUCUCUAUUUUGACUCAUUUUGUCUUGAUUUGAAACCCCCAGAUCUCAGAAGAGUUAAGGAAAUCAACACUCCUGUGUCAUACUAUUGAAGAAUUCUCUCUCUCUCUCUCUCAUGAUCUAACUGCUUUUCUCUGAACCACUCAAUUAGAAGGAAAACUACUGGAAUUCUACCUAGAGUCUUGAUAUUCCGGUGAUGGCCCCUGCCACUCUGAUUAUAAACCAGGAGGCUUCUUUGAGCGUGCCAGCUUUCAAUUAUUUAAAUGGGUAGUUCAACCAACCGUUUUUCAUUCAAAAUGCAACAAAAGUUAGAAUUGCGUGCUGACUCGUAUCCAGAUGCUGUCUUCUUUGGGCCUGGCCAGCUGAUGCUGCUGUUAGUUUCCUGAUGUGUCAGAAACACAUUUGUACUUCAUGGCAAUCUAUAAUAAAGUCUACAACGAAUGUA